Molecule: non-coding RNA, 93 nt
Organism: Mycena leptocephala
Lineage: Eukaryota; Fungi; Basidiomycota; Agaricomycetes; Agaricales; Mycenaceae
Source: the annotation of a GenBank genome assembly
GGCCCGAUGGUGUAGUGGUUACACAUCCUCUUUAAUUUGUCCAUGGUAAAAUGGCUUAUGAGGAAGUCUCUGGUUCGAAUCCGGGUUAGGCCA